AAAGUCGUAACAAGGUCUCCGUUGGUGAACCAGCGGAGGGAUCAUUACAAGAAGCCGAAAGGCUGCUUAAAACCAUCGCGAACCUAUCCAUCAGCGUUGCUUCGGCGGGAGGAGGCCGCGGGGCCGGCGUCUGCCGGUCCCGGGGCCCGGGAACCACACCCUCUCGGGGGUGCGGUGCCCGCCCGCCGGAGGUAUAAAACUCUUCUGCAUCUAUAGUGGAAUCUCUGAGUAAACAAGCAAAUAAGUCAAAACUUUCAACAACGGAUCUCUUGGUUCUG
Molecule: unclassified non-coding RNA, 278 nt
Filed under: Ascomycota sp.
Lineage: Eukaryota; Fungi; Ascomycota
Description: partial contains small subunit ribosomal RNA, internal transcribed spacer 1, and 5.8S ribosomal RNA
Rfam family: Eukaryotic small subunit ribosomal RNA (bases 1-47)
Source: RNAcentral